UGCCAGCAGCCGCGGUAACACGGGGGGCGCAAGCGUUAUUCGGAAUUAUUGGGCGUAAAGGGCGCGCAGGCGGUUUUUUAAGUCUGUGGUUAAAUCCCAGGGCUCAACCUGGGAACUGCACCUGAUACUGCCAGUCUAGAAUACGGUAGAGGGUAGUGGAAUUUCCUGUGUAGCGGUGAAAUGCGUAGAUAUAGGAAGGAACACCAGUGGCGAAGGCGACUACCUGGACCGAUAUUGACACUGAGGUGCGAAAGCGUGGGGAGCAAACAGGAUUAGAUA
RNAcentral lists this ribosomal RNA (279 nucleotides) under uncultured bacterium. RNAcentral describes it as "partial 16S ribosomal RNA". It matches the Rfam family "Bacterial small subunit ribosomal RNA", at positions 506 to 784 of the family's 1533-position model. The record is from RNAcentral.